Molecule: unclassified non-coding RNA, 433 nt
Filed under: soil metagenome
Description: partial contains 5.8S ribosomal RNA, internal transcribed spacer 2, and large subunit ribosomal RNA
Rfam family: 5.8S ribosomal RNA (bases 1-120)
Source: RNAcentral
GAUGAAGAACGUAGCGAAAUGCGAUACGUAAUGUGAAUUGCAGAAUUCAGUGAAUCAUCGAAUCUUUGAACGCAUAUUGCGCUCUCUGGUAUUCCGGAGAGCAUGCUUGUUUGAGUAUCAGUAAACACCUCAACUUCCAUAUCUUUUUUUGAAAUGGGAGUUGGACUUGAGUGAUCCCAACGCUUUUCCUCACCGAAAAGUGGCGGGUUACUUGAAAUGCAGGUGCAGCUGGACUUUUCUCUGAGCUAUAAGCAUAUCUAUUUAGUCUGCCUAAAAAACAUAUUAUUACCUUUGCUGCAGCUAACAUAAAGGAGAUUAGUUCUUGUGCUGACUGAUGCAGGAUUCACAAAGACAGCUUCGGCCGACUUUGUAAACUCGAUCUCAGAUCAAGUAAGACUACCCGCUGAACUUAAGCAUAUCAAUAAGCGGAGGA